GGACAACCCCGAAAUCGGCACCUGACCAAACUCUUAAUCAGCGGGUCCUAGGUUCGAGCCCUAGUGCGUCCACCA
Molecule: transfer RNA, 75 nt
Filed under: Sphingopyxis sp. H050
Lineage: Bacteria; Pseudomonadati; Pseudomonadota; Alphaproteobacteria; Sphingomonadales; Sphingopyxidaceae
Description: tRNA-Lys
Source: RNAcentral